Lipomyces mesembrius is the source of this 93-nucleotide non-coding RNA. Lineage: Eukaryota; Fungi; Ascomycota; Lipomycetes; Lipomycetales; Lipomycetaceae. The record is from the annotation of a GenBank genome assembly.
GAAGCGGUGGCUCAAUGGUAGAGCUUUCGACUCCAGUGAAGUUUAGCAUUGGUGUUUAUCGAAGGGUUGCAGGUUCAAUUCCUGUCCGUUUCA